AGCUGAUUAGAUGGUGCCCACUCAGAUUAAAGGUAUUGGGAGAAGGAGAGGCUGUCAACCCAUGCCACUAUGCUAUCUCUAAUUCUGCCAUCCAGACCGAGCAAACGUACUUAAGACCUUUGUGUAAGAUCAGAAAAUCAUAAGACAGCAUUAAAAAGUACUAUACAGGAGGAGAUGGAACAAGAUGGCCAAAUAGAAGCCUCCAGCAAUCAUCUCCCCGAAAGGAAUUGAACAACUAUCAAAACAAAAUUGAACAACUAUCUAAACAAAAAAGUACCUUCAUAAAAAACAAAAAUCAGGACAAUAUCAGAACGGCACAUACAAGUGUCCCCAAGUCAUAUUUGGAAUAAGAUCACUUGGGAACACAAGUCAAAGAAGGACACAGUGUUCUGCCUCUCCUGAGUAAGCAGCAACAACGCACCAUCUUGGAAUCAGGGGACGGCCCUCACCAGACAACUAAAUCUGCAGACACCUUGGACUUCCCAGCCUCCAGAACUGUCUUUCUGGCAACUGUCUAAACAUAAACCAGAGAAGGGCAAGGCAGACUCAGGAAGGACAAAUAGAAGGCUAUUUUCAUAAAUCGGACCACCACCACAUGUGCAGCAUCCCUCUGGGUCUCUUCCAUGACAACCCUGUGGGAAGCCAGCUUGGCAGGUCACCUUGUUCUAGCAGAUAGAAACUGAAUCAAUAUGGGAAGAGCCAGAAUUUGGACAAGGUUCACCAAACAUUCACACUGAUGCCAGGUGGGCCAAGAAAAAGGGAAUGUCCUGCCUCUGAGAAACUCAUCAUACAGUUUGGAGAUAACAUUUGUUGAAGGAGAGAAGAAAAGAGGAGAGAGGAAUGGAGUGAGGCAGAAAGGAAAUGAUGACGAGCUACUCUUCAAAAUUAAGCUGGAUAACAACAAGAAAUUCUAGAAAGCAAUUGAGGCAACCUCCACCCUAAGACCCAGGUAAACCCUACAUUUAAAGUGCUGUUCUGGGGCACAGUGAAAGAUUUCUGCCAGAAAAUUUGCUCCCUAGGAUUUACAUGAUGAUGAGAUUACAUGCUGCCUUGUGGCAACAAAAUCAAAAGUCUGUAAAAGAAAAAGCGUGCUAUGCUUCUGAAUGUUUGGAGAUCCUACAAUAGAUUUUUCAUUCAGCUAUUUUGUUGCUGCUUCAUGAGCACA
This 1165-nucleotide long non-coding RNA is filed under the name Homo sapiens (human). Its description in RNAcentral is "HSALNT0342909". The record is from RNAcentral. Lineage: Eukaryota; Metazoa; Chordata; Mammalia; Primates; Hominidae.